Molecule: ribosomal RNA, 92 nt
Filed under: Bacillus anthracis (anthrax bacterium)
Lineage: Bacteria; Bacillati; Bacillota; Bacilli; Caryophanales; Bacillaceae
Also listed under: 218 other names
Description: partial 16S ribosomal RNA
Rfam family: Bacterial small subunit ribosomal RNA
Source: RNAcentral
UUAUUGGAGAGUUUGAUCCUGGCUCAGGAUGAACGCUGGCGGCGUGCCUAAUACAUGCAAGUCGAGCGAAUGGAUUAAGAGCUUGCUCUUAU